RNAcentral lists this ribosomal RNA (275 nucleotides) under Gammarus cf. uludagi GcfULUa. Its description in RNAcentral is "partial 16S ribosomal RNA". Lineage: Eukaryota; Metazoa; Arthropoda; Malacostraca; Amphipoda; Gammaridae. RNAcentral also lists the same sequence under 1 other name. The record is from RNAcentral.
GCUAAGGUAGCAUAAUCAUUUGUUUCUUAAUUGGUAGCUGGUAUGAAUGGUUAAACUUGGUUUUUUGUUUGUUAGGCUUAAUAGGAAAUUAAAGUCAAGGUAAUAAUUCUUUGAUUAAUUUAGGGGACGAUAAGACCCUAAAAGCUUAAUAAGUGUAUUGAUUUAUAGUGUUAGAUAGAAAUUUAUUUUACUGGGGUGGUAUAAGUUGAUUUGCUAUAUAGUGUACAUAUGAUCCCUAAUAUUAGGAUAUGUUGGUUAAGUUACUUUAGGGAUAA